RNAcentral lists this long non-coding RNA (520 nucleotides) under Gallus gallus (chicken). Lineage: Eukaryota; Metazoa; Chordata; Aves; Galliformes; Phasianidae. The record is from RNAcentral.
CCCAUUCAGCUUGUGUUCUUUCUGGUCCAUGACCUUAUCUACACUCUCCGAUUCCUUGAAGAGCACAAAGCCAAAGCCUCUUGAUCGCCCAGUGAUGGGAUCCAGCUUCAGAGUGCAGUCUACGACUUCACCAAAUUUAGAGAAGUAGUCCUUCAGAUCUUUCUUGGUAGUGUCCCAGCUGAGGCCACCAAUAAACAUUUUCCCCUCGUCCUCCUCGUUCUUGCUGGCGUCGAUCUUCGCUCCCUCCGACUCACCCCCGCCGCCACCGCCGCCGCCGCCCGCCCCGUCGCCGUCUGCCGCCCCGCUCCCCGCCAGCCCCUCGGGCUGCGCCGGCUGUUCCGCAGGGCCGCCCCCGGGGCCGGCCGCCGCCGAGUCCAUGGCGAACUGCUGCUCCGACAUGGCGCCGCUGCCCCGAGCCGGCCCCGUUGCCGCUUCCCCCGCCGGAGGCGCCGGCCCCGCUGGCGGCCCGAGCGCCCCGAACCCUCCUUCUUCUCCCAGCCGCUUUAUUUUAAUGGCGCCG